RNAcentral lists this ribosomal RNA (341 nucleotides) under uncultured bacterium. RNAcentral describes it as "bacterial SSU rRNA". It matches the Rfam family "Bacterial small subunit ribosomal RNA", at positions 30 to 367 of the family's 1533-position model. The record is from RNAcentral.
AUUGAACGCUGGCGGAAUGCUUUACACAUGCAAGUCGAACGGUAGAGGGGGGCAACCCCUUGAGAGUGGCGAACGGGUGAGUAAUAUAUCGGAACGUGCCCAGUCGUGGGGAGUAACGUAGCGAAAGUUACGCUAAUACCGCAUACGAUCUAAGGAUGAAAGACGGGGGGACGUCGCAAGAGCCUCGCGCGAUUGGAGCGGCCGAUAUCAGAUUAGGUAGUUGGUGGGGUAAAGGCUCACCAAGCCAACCGAUCUGUAGCUGGUCUGAGAGGACGACCAGCCACACUGGAACUGAGACACGGUCCAGACUCCUACGGGAGGGCAGCAGUGGGGGAAGUUUU